This 261-nucleotide ribosomal RNA is filed under the name uncultured archaeon. RNAcentral describes it as "partial 16S ribosomal RNA". It matches the Rfam family "Archaeal small subunit ribosomal RNA", at positions 748 to 1009 of the family's 1478-position model. The record is from RNAcentral.
UGGCCGUAAACGAUACUCGCUAGGUGUCGGCCACGGUGCGACCGUUGUCGGUGCCGUAGGGAAGCCGUGAAGCGAGCCACCUGGGAAGUACGGCCGCAAGGCUGAAACUUAAAGGAAUUGGCGGGGGAGCACCACAACGGGUGGAGCUUGCGGUUUAAUUGGAUUCAACGCCGGAAAUCUUACCGGGACCGACAGCAACAUGAAGGCCAGGCUGAAGACUUUGCCGGAUUAGCUGAGAGGAGGUGCAUGGCGUAGUCGUGU